This 249-nucleotide ribosomal RNA is filed under the name uncultured prokaryote. Its description in RNAcentral is "partial 16S ribosomal RNA". It matches the Rfam family "Bacterial small subunit ribosomal RNA", at positions 524 to 772 of the family's 1533-position model. The record is from RNAcentral.
UACGGAGGAUGCAAGCGUUAUCCGGAUUUAUUGGGUUUGAAGGGUGCGCAGGUUGUUUGAUAAGUCAGUGGUGAAAGUCUGUCGCUUAACGGUAGGAUUGCCAUUGAUACUGUUGGACUUGAAUAUGGAUGAGGUAGGCGGAAUGUGUAGUGUAGCGGUGAAAUGCAUAGAUAUUACACAGAACACCGAUUGCGAAGGCAGCUUACUAAUCCAUCAUUGACGCUGAGGCACGAAAGCGUGGGGAUCAAA